NNAGAUUAGCAUGGGCCCUGCGCAAGGAUGACACACAAAUUUGUGAAGCAUUCCCAUAUUUU
This 62-nucleotide small nuclear RNA is filed under the name Sorex araneus (European shrew). The record is from RNAcentral. Lineage: Eukaryota; Metazoa; Chordata; Mammalia; Eulipotyphla; Soricidae.